AAACCAACAGGGAUUACCUCAGUAACGGCGAGUGAAGCGGUAACAGCUCAAAUUUGAAAUCUGGGUCUUUCAGGCUCCGAGUUGUAAUUUGUAGAAGAUGCUUCGGGUGCGGCUCCGGUCUAAGUUCCUUGGAACAGGACGUCAUAGAGGGUGAGAAUCCCGUAUGUGAUCGGUUGCUUGCGCCCAUGUGAAGCUCUUUCGACGAGUCGAGUUGUUUGGGAAUGCAGCUCCAAAUGGGUGGUAUAUUUCAUCUAAAGCUAAAUAUUGGCCAGAGACCGAUAGCGCACAAGUAGAGUGAUCGAAAGAUGAAAAGCACUUUGGAAAGAGAGUUAAACAGUACGUGAAAUUGUUGAAAGGGAAGCGCUUGCAACCAGACUUGCGUGUCGUCGAUCAUCCGGGGUUCUCCCCGGUGCACUCGGCUUCACUCAGGCCAGCAUCGGUUUCGGUGGUUGGAUAAAGGCCUUGGGAAUGUAGCUCCUCUCGGGGAGUGUUAUAGCCCUCGGUGCAAUGCAGCCUACCGGGACCGAGGACCGCGCUUCGGCUAGGAUGCUGGCGUAAUGGUUGUAAGCGAC
This 572-nucleotide ribosomal RNA is filed under the name Neofabraea sp. OTU63 TS-2013. Its description in RNAcentral is "eukaryotic LSU rRNA". It matches the Rfam family "Eukaryotic large subunit ribosomal RNA", at positions 62 to 648 of the family's 3401-position model. Lineage: Eukaryota; Fungi; Ascomycota; Leotiomycetes; Helotiales; Dermateaceae. The record is from RNAcentral.